Molecule: long non-coding RNA, 229 nt
Organism: Ornithorhynchus anatinus (platypus)
Lineage: Eukaryota; Metazoa; Chordata; Mammalia; Monotremata; Ornithorhynchidae
Exons: 2
Source: RefSeq, a predicted model, not a curated record
GGAGCACUGCGUCGCGAACUUGGAAGAGCAAAGCAGCAGCCCCAGAGCCCCCACCGCCCCCCGGGGUCAAUCUAUUGAGUUGAAAGUGUGACUUUUAGAUCGAUCGCGGCACUCAGAUAUCGAAAUAGGGGAAGAGGUCUAGCCAACUCUGCCCCCGGAGAAAAUGCAAUCCUGGGUGCUAUCACUUGCAAUAAAUUGCUCCCGCCACCGCAAUUCUCCUGAGAAAGGA